Molecule: long non-coding RNA, 1910 nt
Organism: Triticum aestivum (bread wheat)
Lineage: Eukaryota; Viridiplantae; Streptophyta; Magnoliopsida; Poales; Poaceae
Exons: 2
Source: RefSeq, a predicted model, not a curated record
GCUUCUCCACCCCGAGCCGCCGGCUGCUCUUCCACCUAGAGGAACAAAGCCACCCGGCCCCCCGGUCUUCUCUCCCACCUCCCGUGAUCUUCGUCGUCCCACCUCCCACGAUUCAUUAGCAGGUCGAGGAAAGGACUUCGCCCCACCGCACCUGCCGGAUCUGCUGAGCCAGCGGCCGGAUCCGCCGAGCCAGCGGCCGGAUCCACUGAGCCACCGGCCGGUUCCGCCGAGGCAGUGGCCGGAUCUCGAUCUUCUAGUCGUCCCCGCCUUCUCCUCUAUCGGCGGCAGGCAGCAGAAACGUGCAAGGCGCGCAUGACUGCUCCAGCCAGAGGAAGGCGCGAGGUGCGACUCGACGGCGCGUGGUCGAGCCAGGCACGACACGGGCGGGCACCACCUCACUGGGGCGCGACCACGGCAGCCAACAUCGGCGCCCAAAUCGCAUCCACCGAACCCAAGCGGGGGCUCCGGUGGGCGUGCGGUUCUGCGUUCAAUAGGAGAGCACGCGCGAGAAAGAGCGCUGCUCGCGUCUUCCAGUGAACCCCAAAGAGAGCAGAGGAGGAGAUGACCAAGGGCGAGGUUCCAUUGAUCGGCAUCGACCUUGGGACGACCUACUCCUACGUCAGCGUGUGGCAGUAGGUCGAAAUCAUGGCCAACGACCAGGGCAACCGCAUAGCACACCACGCCCUCCUACGUCGCCUGAACCAGCUCGCCAUGAACCCCACCAACACUGUCUCCGAUCACAGUACAAAGUUAAGCUGGCAACGAGGUAUCCCUUUCCAUCCAUCAUCCUUGGUUUACACAUUUGGUCCAAGAUCGGACUCGCCUACUCUGAACAAUUGUUUUCUGUUCUGAAUUUCAUCAGUCUCCUGAAUUUUUGGCUUGUGGAAUUUCAAUCUGAAUGCUUGUUCCACUGAUAAUUUUGGUUGCUAUUUAGGUUUAGUGGGGUUUUAUUCAAUACUAAUGCUACUGAACAAUUUGCCCAGGAUGUUACUUAGAAUUUUGGCAUGGUACUGUGGUGAUUUGUAGGUUGGCUGUUCUACUUCUCCAUGGCUUCUAGCUAAAGCUUAACUAGAAUAGUAUAAAUGGAUAAGAACUGAAAUUACCAUGCUAGACUUGAGUUGUGAUUUGCCACAGUAAAGUGUUUAUACUGCUAGUUCUUUAUUGUAGUUUUAAAUAGGCAUAUAUAUUGAGUGUAUAUGUAUUGCCUCUGUUCGUAGUGAUCUACGCACUUACAUUGCCUCCAAAUGCUGGAAUAGUGAAUGUUUGGUAGGAGUCGUGAAUUGAUUUUGUUGAGUCAAGUAUAGUCAUAUUUGUGAAUAUGCCUUCUGUGAGGUUUGCGAAUUUGCAAAAAAAAAUACUUUUAUUCUGCAGUGUGAUCUUGCAUUUAUGUACUUAACAUCAAAUAGAAAAAUACAUAUUGCAUUAGAAUUAUAUAUUUUUGAAUAGAAAAUAGGGCUUUUGACAAUUGUAAACUCUGCUGCUUUACUUGUUUAGAAAAUACAAAAUUAGGCCUCCCGACAAUUGUUUAAGUGAGACGUGUGAUGCACAUUUUCUUUGAGGCACAAUUGUUUCCUUUCCUCCAUAAUAUCUAUUGUACUGUGCAUAUAAUGAUCAUUUCCUAUUUCCUUAUUCCAUAUCAGCUAGAAACCCAUUGGUGUAGUAUUUUAACAACUGCUCAGGAGCUGCUGUACCAGAGCAAGAAUGACAUCAUCAACUUCUACUUGCUCCAUCUGAAGGACAAAUCUCAUGCAACCCAUGGUGCUGCAUUUGACACACGCAUUUGUAUUUUGUUAGUGAUUAUUGUGUGUAAUGUCUGAUGUUUUGGAUAUUUUUUUGUAAAUGAUGGCAAUGUGGCUUCAGUGAUGUACCUUUGAUGGUUAUUGUAAUUGAAUGAAACAAUUUAAUGAAAA